AUUGGUGUCGAUGACGCAGAGGGUCCACCCGUUCCCAUCCCGAACACGGAAGUUAAGCUCUGUGGUGCCGAAAAUAGUGCCUUGGCGACGAGGUGUGAAAAUAGGGAGAUGCCAAUA
Molecule: ribosomal RNA, 117 nt
Filed under: Ruminococcaceae bacterium P7
Lineage: Bacteria; Bacillati; Bacillota; Clostridia; Eubacteriales; Oscillospiraceae
Source: RNAcentral